Crotalus tigris (Tiger rattlesnake) is the source of this 765-nucleotide long non-coding RNA. RefSeq lists it as uncharacterized. The record is from RefSeq and is a predicted model, not a curated record. The transcript is spliced from 3 exons. NCBI's taxonomy places the organism in Eukaryota, Metazoa, Chordata, Lepidosauria, Squamata, Viperidae.
AAGAAAGAGAGGCACAGCGCUUUUGUGGCUGACCGUCUAUUACUGGCUCCGGUUUGACGCCAAAGAAUCGGCCUGAAGGAGGCUGAAGGAGGCUGAAGUUAAGAGCAGGAGAAAGUGGGGAGAGUCCGUGCUAUGGACUUCCAGAGGGAACAAAUGGCAAAGUGAAGAUGGUUUUAUGAAAAGUGGAGUCAACAACUACAGCAAAGAACAAAGAAAAAAGAACAAGUUUUAACUGACAAGACAGACAGAGUUGAAACUGAAAGCAAACCUACAAAUGAAGACUACAAGAAUGAAAAAGAUUUCUCAUUGAACAUGAGAACAUAAUUGAACAAAAGAAAUCAGUUGAUGCUUUAAAAAUUCAAAGAGAAUUACAAAUAAAAAACUGAGAGUGACUUGGAUAAUUCUUACAUAUUGGAUUUACAAAAGAGGUUUGUUAAAGUUUGUAUGAAGGGGCAAAAAAAAAAUAUAUGGAAAUUCUGUGGCAUUACUUGAAUGGACCAAACAGUGUUAGAAGUAAAAGAAGGCAUAUAAAAUUGGUUUAUUUGAUCAAGGUUAAAAAUGAUAUGUUGUUAUGUCUGGCUGUCAAUGGAAUUUUGCUGACACCAAGACUGAAAGAUGAUGCUUUAAGGAUUUGCUUAUGAAUAAGCGAUGGGAUAUCUGAUGAAGAGAUCAUUAGUGUAAAUUAAGAGAUGAAAUACUUGUGAUGAAGAUUGGUAGUUCUUUCUCUCUCUCUCUCUCUCUUUCUUUUUUUCUUUCCAUUUUUUC